GCGAACUCGAUAUGUGAAGCGGUGAGGUACCCAGCAGAGCAGACACUAUGUCCCACUUUGAUUGUUCAGGGAUGGACGACCGAAUAAGUAUAGUCUCGUGCCCCCAACAUGAUAACAAGUGAAAGGGAGAAAGAAGCAAAGGAUCGUCAAAUGUGUUGGCAUCGACACAACUAUUGAACUUUUUGGGGGGUAGGCGGAGUUUCACGCGCACUUCCGACGUUGUUUAGAUGCGAUCAACGCCCGGAGGAAUAAAACUAGUUUUUGUUUUUUUUCUAAUUUAGUGGGAGGGAUUUUUUUCUUCAAUGUUUUCUCAAAAAUUCAAUGAUUUUGUCACAUUUAACCGUGUUUAGCCCGAAAGCGGAUGUGUGACUAUUCGCUUUCCUGAAACGUUGGAAUGUCGUUACGAUGUUUGGCACUUUCUCCUCCAACCUGAGGGUAAAGUUUUCCUUUUUUUUCUUUUCUUUCUUUUGGGUUUUCGAUGUAGUUUUUGAAGAGGUGCGCAGAAAAAAAUAAAAUAAAGGACAUUGGAAUUUGAGACGGCCCACUGCAUGUGUCGGACAACAUUAGAAAGUGGAAGUUUGUGCUUGAGUUAUCGCUGGAUGGACACUCUAUUGCAUUUCAAAAUGAAAAUAGUUUUGGAUGCUAUAUCAUCAAGUAGUUGUCUUUAACGGCAUUUUUUUCCUUCUCAUUUUCGCAAACUAUGCAAAUCAAAGUCGGCAAAAUGCCAGACGUUGCGCUGUUUCUUUUUUGUUGUUUCCAACUUGUUUUAAUCACCUCAAUUAAAAAUGCGCAUUUUUGAUGAACUAUACACUCCGGACUUGCGUUAUAAUAAAAGAAACAUGCGUGUG
Molecule: long non-coding RNA, 848 nt
Organism: Daphnia magna
Lineage: Eukaryota; Metazoa; Arthropoda; Branchiopoda; Diplostraca; Daphniidae
Exons: 2
Source: RefSeq, a predicted model, not a curated record